This 1134-nucleotide long non-coding RNA is filed under the name Homo sapiens (human). RNAcentral describes it as "HSALNT0357999". The record is from RNAcentral. Lineage: Eukaryota; Metazoa; Chordata; Mammalia; Primates; Hominidae.
UUCAUCCAUAUUGUAGCACAUACGAGAAGAUGACUUUUUAAAAAGUUUUUAAUUAAAACAUAACAUAAAAAGUGAAAAGUGCAUAACUUGCUCACAACCUGAACACAUCAGGACCCAGGGAGUCAAGAGAUGAUGACUGAUGACUCAGCCUCCUCAGCUCGGCUUCCCAGAGCUCCACUCACCACAUCAGUGAGCCUGGCAUGCAGGGGGAGACAUAAACACAACCAUGGUGUUGAUAUCAAUCCUAGCAGAGAUGUCACAAGCCAAGGUCUGGGAAGAGGAAGAAUGAAUCAGGAUAAAACUUCAGUGGAAAAAAGACCAAGUGAGAGACUUAAAAGUCACGACUAAAGAAUUGUGCUGCUUAUUGCUGUUGAGUUCCCCUCUGCUCCCACAGAAGACAAGGAGAAGGAAUGUCACAGGGGCUUGAGUAUCCCUCUAGGGAAGAGUGGCUGGAACACCUAAUGUGAAAGUUUGGGGAAUCUUUGGCUGCUGAGAGCUCAGAGGGAUGAUGAUAUAACAUUGGAGAAAGGAUGUUGGAACCUCACCCACCUGUGUUUGCCUUCCCAUGCAACUGGAGCAGUGGAAGUUAGAAAGUAGGGUAUGAAAAACGACUGGAAGCAGAGAUCCUCUCCCACAGAGGGGUAGAAUUGGAAGACGCACUCAGAAAGCCUUACGGCCAACCUCCUCAGUUUUCAUACAGGCAAACUAAAUAUUACAGAUGGGAAAAUGGACCUUAGAGAUGACUGAACUCAAAGUCUUCAUUCUACUAAGGAGAAGAUGGGCCUGAGGUGCUCACUCUGAUGGAAGCCAGCUGCUAUGCUGUGUGUUGCUCUAUGGAGAGACUCAGGUAGAAGGAAUUGAAGGAGGCUUUCGGCCAACAGUCAGCAAGGUACUGAGGCUUUCAGUCCAAGAGCCUAUAAGGAACUGAAUCCUACCAGCAACCAAGCAAGUGGCUUGAAAAUGGACCCUCUCUCAGCUGAGUCUUUGAAUAAGAUCACAGCUCUUAUUCAAUAUGACACCUUGAUUGUAGUCUUGUUAGAGAUCUUGAGCCAGUGGCACCCAGCUAAGCUGUACCUGUAUUCCUGACCCAUAAAACCCCACAGAUAAUAAAUGUUUGUCAUUUUAAACUGUGAA